AGUGAACGCUGGCGGUAGGCCUAACACAUGCAAGUCGAACGGCAGCACAGAGGAGCUUGCUCCUUGGGUGGCGAGUGGCGGACGGGUGAGGAAUACAUCGGAAUCUACUCUGUCGUGGGGGAUAACGUAGGGAAACUUACGCUAAUACCGCAUACGACCUACGGGUGAAAGCAGGGGACCUUCGGGCCUUGCGCGAUUGAAUGAGCCGCUGUCGGAUUAGCUAAUUGGCGGGGUAAAGGCCCACCAAGGCGACGAUCCUGAGCUGGUCUGAGGGGAUGAUCAGCCACACUGGAACUGGGACACGUGCCAGACUCCUACGGGAGGACGCAGUGGGUAAUAUUGGACAAUGGGCGCAAGCCUGCUCCAGCCAUACCGCGUGGGUGAAGAAGGCCUUCGGGUUGUAAAGCCCUUUUGUUGGGAAAGAAAUCCAGCUGGCUAAUACCCGGUUGGGAUGACGGUACCCAAAGAAUAAGCACCGGCUAACUUCGUGCCAGCCGCCGCCGUAA
RNAcentral lists this ribosomal RNA (506 nucleotides) under uncultured bacterium. RNAcentral describes it as "partial 16S ribosomal RNA". It matches the Rfam family "Bacterial small subunit ribosomal RNA", at positions 29 to 523 of the family's 1533-position model. The record is from RNAcentral.